This 253-nucleotide ribosomal RNA is filed under the name uncultured bacterium. RNAcentral describes it as "partial 16S ribosomal RNA". It matches the Rfam family "Bacterial small subunit ribosomal RNA", at positions 524 to 776 of the family's 1533-position model. The record is from RNAcentral.
UACGUAGGGCGCGAGCGUUGUCCGGAUUUAUUGGGCGUAAAGAGCUCGUAGGCGGCUUGUCGCGUCGUCCGUGAAAACUUGGGGCUCAACCCCAAGCUUGCGGUCGAUACGGGCAGGCUAGAGUUCGGUAGGGGAGACUGGAAUUCCUGGUGUAGCGGUGAAAUGCGCAGAUAUCAGGAGGAACACCGGUGGCGAAGGCGGGUCUCUGGGCCGUAACUGACGCUGAGGAGCGAAAGCAUGGGGAGCGAACAGG